RNAcentral lists this long non-coding RNA (350 nucleotides) under Physcomitrium patens. RNAcentral describes it as "long non-coding RNA (PPAT_LNC004477)". The record is from RNAcentral. Lineage: Eukaryota; Viridiplantae; Streptophyta; Bryopsida; Funariales; Funariaceae.
UCAAACCUUAAAUCAAACUUUAAUGAAAACUUAAUGAAAUCAUUUUUAAAUCUUAAUAAAAUAUUAAUCAAAUUCUAAAUCCUAAUCUUAGAUCAAAUCCUAAUAAAAUCUUAUUCAAACCUUAAUUUUAUCCUAAUUCCUAAACUAAUCCCAAUGAAUCCUAAGAAAAAUUCUAAAUCUUAAAUAAAUUCUUAAUAAAACCUAUAGCAAAUUGGAAAUUCAAUAACUAAUGCUUAAAUUGUUUAAUUUGAUUUAAAUUUGUAAACUUUGCAACAACUAAGUUAACAACAAGCACAAAAUAUUUGAAGAAGAUUGCACAUAUCAAAUAAGUAAUAAUUCUUAAACUCCAC